GAUCAGAGAAGUCCAGGUGAUGACCUAGUCUCCUUGGCACAGUGGGACAUAUUAUGACAUGUAGUUGAGGGCUAGUGGUGACAAGUUCAUCCUUGAGAUGAUAUGUUUGUGAUGUGAUGCAUUCCAUGAGAGCAUGUAAUGAAUGAACUGUUUUAUUGUUCCUACUCACUGGGCUAUAGAGCUCAUCCCACUCCCUUAACCCCAGUUUUGCAGGUUCCGAGAUAGCUAUGGGAAGUC
Molecule: long non-coding RNA, 237 nt
Filed under: Manihot esculenta (cassava)
Lineage: Eukaryota; Viridiplantae; Streptophyta; Magnoliopsida; Malpighiales; Euphorbiaceae
Description: long non-coding RNA (MESC_LNC012697)
Source: RNAcentral